AACUAAUCUUUUUUCCUCUACUUCCUUUCACAUCAAUCCCUUAUUUUCUCUCUCCUAUUUUCGGAGGCAUGUCAGGAACCUUCUCGGUUCUUUAUCUCUAUUACAGUUACUCGUUCGCCUCCAUUUCUUCUCUCUUUCUCGGCUCUCUACUUCCAGAUUAGGGGAAAAUGUAUUCUUGCUUCACCUAUCUUAAUUCAUUCGCCAUCCCGACAAAUUUCCCCCGGCACACCUCAGGAGCAACCUGCGCCUGUACCACGAACAACUUUAGGGGGAAUUUCAAAGGCAGAAAAUACGCCAUUUUUUAACAAUCGAAAGCUGAAAAUGGGAUUCAUAUCAGAAUGUGAAGUACUUGUGUGGACACCGUUUCCUCAAAGGUAAACUACGGGAUAUUGAUCAUGUUCUUGCUGGUUUGCCUUUUGCUCUUGGUAAUUUACUUGCCAUUGUUGAUAUUAUAAUUUAAAAUUUAAUUGUUAUAUAUAUGAAUGGUUGUGCACUGUGAUUGUUUGCUUUUAAACAAAAUACCAUUUGUUUAUUAUAAAACAUGAUUGGAGAUGUGUAGAUGUUUCUUAAGCUAAUGAUAGUCAAGUCUGGUAUCUAUACACACUUCAUAGCAAGCACAUUUUUAGGAUAAAUGGUUAUACCAACUCAUUUUUACAUGUAUGCCUAAUAAUCAUUUUGAGGAUCUGGUGACUUUCUUCUUUUGGACUAGAAUAUUCAAUUAUAUCAUCUAUGAAUAUGGCCUUGAACACAUUAUUAUAAUUGACAUUGACUAUGUGUGAUCAGGUGUGGGUAGUUUAGUAGACUUAUGUCUUGAGUUAAAUUAGGGUUUGAUAUGAAUAAGGUCCUUUUAUGCUCUCUUGCCUACCAUUUUAGUAUGUUUCUAAAUGUUGAAUUUGUCUAGUAACUGAAGAACAAGGAUAACUCCUAUUUGCAUAGCGCACCAACUAAUAUUCAGGGUUCCCUUGGUUCUGUUAGCCAACUUUUUAUAUGCAUCCGGAUUCUUGUUGACUAUAGCAUCCAAACAGGUACAAUUGUUGAUGAUUUUCAAAUGUUUUUUAGUCGAUUUAUUUCCUUGGUUUGUUUUAUUGGUAAUUUAUUUAUUGGGUUUUAUGAUAUUUGUUAUUAUAGACAAUAGCUUCAGUCUUACCUAAUUUGCAAACCCAAUUAAAGAGAGAAAUAGGCAAUUUAAGAACCCCACCACUACAAAAACAGGCAAAGAAACCCGUCCAAAUCUACGUUAGAGACCACUAUUGGAAGGGUCUUUAUCGUUGGAGUUUGUUUGAUAAUGAGACUCGUCCAAAUGAAGUGGUAUGUUUGAAAAAAGAAGAUACUCGUUAAUUCAGAGACGGGGUAUGUUAUGUUGAUAAAAUGAAUUAAAACUAAAUAUUGAAAAAGACCCAUGUUUGUUAAAUGAAAAAGACCCGUCAUUAGAGAAAUUUGGUCUGUAUGUAAAAUAUAAGAGACACCUAAUCAAAGAAAGGGAGUCUCUACGUACGUAUUUGGAUUUUAAAAAACAAAAUUGGUUUGGAGCGUAUUUUUUUGUUAUUUCGAAUUUAAGUUUUAAAUUUUAUGCUCGAUUAAAAUUGGCAGAAUUAUAAAUAAAUUAAACUCAACCGAUGUGAGAAUUUCAUAAAAAAAAUAAAAAUUAUACGAAUCAUUAACGAAUUAAAACUUCAAUUACAAACUAAUUGAAAUUUACAAGUAUAAACUAACUCAUAUCAAAAUUAAAAAGUAAAGCAUGGACUAAUAAUUUUUUUGUGGAGUUUAAUAUGUCGGUUUGUAAUCCUCAUUCCUCAAAGCUCGAUAAAUCCAAACUUAUCAUUGUAAUCUAUAAUGUAAGUUUAUUUAAAUGUCUGUACAUGCAUACAGUGAAAAAAAUGCAACCGGAUUCUACAGUACAUGCAUACCAAAUUCAUCUUACAGAACAUUUUUAUUUCCAAGGUGUGUACAUCAUAAAAUAAAAAGAAUCACUCAAUUAUGAAAAUAACUAAGCAAAAAAAUGUAAAUUAAAAUGCAUAAUCACUUCACGCUAUCAAAUUGAGCCCCAUUCUCACUUUUUCCCAUCUUAAUUAAUCUUGAUGUAUCAAUAAUUCAACCAAAGAAAUUCAAUUAAAAAAAAUUCCUAAAUUCCUAAAAGGGCAAGAGAGAAAAAUUAAAUCAUAGAAUAGGGUUAUUAGUGAAACAAAUCACACAAAUCUGGUGAAAAAACGAUUUAAACUAAUAAUUUAUUAAAGAAAAUUAAAAUCAAACUCUAGAUUUCCUAUAACCAAAUUCCUCUUCACCAUUAAAAGCUUAAUCUAAAAUUUUACUUUAACAAAAAAAUUGUAAUUAACCAAAAAAAAGUAUGAAUUUCAGUGAAUGAACUAGCAAUUAAAUUAAAAAAAAAUAAUAAAAUUAAAGAGUAGUUGUGCAGUCUACUGGUCGUCUGUUAAAUCGGUGUUGACAUAAUCGAUUUAGAUCUAAGUCAACUCAAAUUUUCUAGACUAGAUGCUGCUAUUGCCGGGAUGACAGCAACAACCAAACCGCGUUUUCCCUUUCUUAAAUGUUCGGACCUUUUCUCAAAAAAUUCCGGAUCUCGAUUCAUUUCGGGAGUUGAGGGGAAACACUCUCCAGCAAAAGUAGGUUACAAUGAUAAAGAAAUUGAAAUGUUUUUAGUUGAAAUUGGUAAUGUGAUCGAAUAAUGAAGAUGAUUAAUAUAUGGACUUUAAAGAAGAGGGGUGUUGAUAACUAGGAAAUCAUCUAGAAAAUGGAAGAUACAAAUGGCUAAGGGAGUUGAGGAAAUAAAGUCUCGAAAUAAAGCUAUGAUAUACAUGAAUUAAAGAUGGUAUGUAAGAGACUUGUUUAGUCUGGAAACGAGUCUCUUAUCUGUCUAUUGUUUUUUCUUAAAGAAAGUACUAGACCCUUGUGCAUUUUAGAGACCCAUUAGGUUUAGUAACAGGUCUCUUAUAUCUCCUCUAAUUAGGUCUUAUUGCACAUAAGAGACCCGUUAUCUCUAAUAUUUAAUCUCGUACAUCUAACAGACCUAUUGUUAAGAUAAUGGGUCUUUUAUUAGGGGUUCUUUUUCCAGAUUUUGUAGUAUUGUCCAUUAGUGUACGUGUUUGAACUUUUUGUGGAAUUGAAAGCGGAUUUAAUGGCAGAAAGUUUUAUGCGACUACCAUGGUUGAAAAUCUUCAUCGUUGGCUCCACUCAGGCCUCAAGAUGCAGCGAGAUGUUGAAGAUAUGUGUGAGGGUGAUUGGGUUUUUCACCAAUUAAUUGUAAGGAUACCCAAUCCUUGGUAUAAACCUUCAUUGAGUUUGACGAAUAUUAUGAAGCAGUCCAGGUAAGUUCUUUAUCCUCCUUUUCAAUGAAUUCAUGGCUUCCUUUAAAAUUUGUACUUGUAGUUUCACCUAUUACUCACGACAUAAAUAAAUCCUAUUAUAGUCUGCGGUUGAUUUUUAUCAAUUACUCUUCUAUUAUAAGAUUAUGGUUUAAUAUAAAGUUUCAUCCUUUCUUUAGAUUUUCUUUCAUGGCUUCAACUUGUGCUUCCCAUAUGUUUAAUUAUAUGGGUCAUUUUUCCAGGGGGUUAUCCUUGGCUCCGUUUUUCAUAUUAAAUGUCUCUUUUUGUUGGGAAAAGACUUUGUGCUCUGCAUUUAUAUGGCUUAACUUGAGAUUUGUUCAUGCUGUCAUUUUGUGGAUGUACUAUUGUUUUUGUUAUUUAUUGAGAAAAAGUGGUUUCACUGAUAAUCUCAAUUUCUUGAUGGACUAUAUUUGGUGUUCGUUCUAUGGGUUAUUUUUGUUUCUAAUCUUGUGUUACAUGAAAAGCUAUUGUCUCCUUAUUCAUAGUAGUUACACUAUGUCCAUGAAGUUUUGUAUCCUUGUUUAUUGGGAUAUGUUUACUCUUGGUUUUUGCUACUACCUUACGCAUCUUUUAGCUAGUUAUAGUCCAUUGCAUAGUUUAUGUGAAAUUCCUACUGAAAAUCCUUUUAUCUAUUGUUGUAUUAGAGAAUUAUAUUACACAUGUGGGUGGAUUUGUCUUUGUUCUCGUACCUCCUUAAUUUUAAGUCAGUGCUUUUGUUUGUACUUGGUGUUGAUUCACAACUUGUGGAUAUGCUUAUUAUUAAUCUCCUAGAGUCUUUAUAGUUUAGCCAAUAUUGGACUCUUUCUUCAUUGUUACCUUGUUAGCUAUUCUAAUGUUUUUCAAUGUUUGUGACUAUACUUAAUCCUUUAUUUUAGACAUUUACACAUUCUAAAGUUAGUUUGGUGUACUGUGUGUUUUUCAUUUUUUCUUAUUAAUCUAUUUGUUUUGCUUAUUUUUCUUCUUUUGAGCCGGAUGGUUUGUCAUCCGCGAUGGAAUCCGGAUGUUUGAUAUCCUCUAUGAAAAUAUUUUUAUGAUCUUAGUAGCUCGAUUUUUUUACUGGCUACCUAGAUUUUGAGUCUUAUUUAGUCUAUAAAAUGGAUUUCGAAUAUAAUUCUUUGGUUUAUAUUUUCAUUUGCUCAAUUGGCUCUUGCUCUUGGAUUGGGGUUUUUAGUUACUCUAUUGAACACCACUCUUUUAAAGACUUUGCACCAGAUACUUAUAGCUAUACAAAUUGGGAGAAUUCAUGUCCUUUGUUGCUUUCAAAGAAACUUUGGUGGAUAAUGCUCAUUAUUGUAAAAUCAUUCCAUCUAAUCUCGAGCUCAAUAGUAGAAACUAUUUUCAACCUACAAAUUUCUACUUUCUCAUUUAUGUAUAUUUCUUCAUGUAUUGACAUUUAUAUGUUGUAUAUUUGUAUCAACUCUCUAAAAGAUAUUAACAGGGUCCUUAGACCUUGCUUGAACCGGGUGCUUGACACUCGCUAUGACCAUCA
Chenopodium quinoa (quinoa) is the source of this 4827-nucleotide long non-coding RNA. RefSeq lists it as uncharacterized. The transcript is spliced from 2 exons. Lineage: Eukaryota; Viridiplantae; Streptophyta; Magnoliopsida; Caryophyllales; Amaranthaceae. The record is from RefSeq and is a predicted model, not a curated record.